RNAcentral lists this ribosomal RNA (393 nucleotides) under uncultured bacterium. RNAcentral's name for it is "partial 16S ribosomal RNA". It matches the Rfam family "Bacterial small subunit ribosomal RNA", at positions 523 to 918 of the family's 1533-position model. The record is from RNAcentral.
AUACGGAGGAUGCGAGCGUUAUCCGGAUUUAUUGGGUUUAAAGGGAGCGUAGGUGGGAUAUUAAGUCAUCUGUGAAAGUUUGGGGCUCAACCUUAAAAUUGCAGUUGAUACUGGUUUCCUUGAGUACGGUACAGGUGGGCGGAAUUCGUGGUGUAGCGGUGAAAUGCUUAGAUAUCACGAAGAACUCCGAUCGCGAAGGCAGCUCACCGGGCCGGAACUGACACUGAUGCUCGAAAGUGCGGGUAUCAAACAGGAUUAGAUACCCUGGUAGUCCGCACAGUAAACGAUGAAUACUCGCUGUUUGCGAUACACUGUAAGCGGCCAAGCGAAAGCGUUAAGUAUUCCACCUGGGGAGUACGCCGGCAACGGUGAAACUCAAAUGAAUUGACGGGG